GCUGCCAUACUCGCGGGCUCAUGUGGGUGGGCAGGCAGACCCCAAGGAGCCAUCACGGGCAAGGGCUGGAGUUUGAUUACGUCAGAUCUGUGUGUGUGUGUGUGCGUGUGUGUGUGUGUGUGAGAGAUAUGUGGGGUGUAACUGUGUUUGAUGGGGUUUUCUUUUGGCAGCUGGAUGUGAGAGAUCAAUGUAUGUUUUGUUUGGAAGAGGAGAGGGGAAUUGUGUUGAAGGCCUACGUGUGUUCUUGGUUUGUGAAGGACUCUGUGCUCAACUCUCACUGCCCCCUCAGCAACUGCAGCUUUCUGCCGAGGCCUUGGCCCGGUCAUUCUUGUCCAGUUUGAUAGGUUCAGGAAAUUCGUUGUAC
Molecule: long non-coding RNA, 364 nt
Filed under: Homo sapiens (human)
Lineage: Eukaryota; Metazoa; Chordata; Mammalia; Primates; Hominidae
Description: lncAB415.1
Source: RNAcentral